UAGUUCUCUCUCAUGUUUUUUAUUUUUCUGUAUAAUAUGGUUCCUAUCAUUAAUUGCUCACAGAUUUGCAUUAUUGCUUUGUUUUAGAUUAUUAUAUUUUGGCUUUGAGGUGUCAUCAAAUCUGAUUGCUUCUAAAGGUUUGGAAUAUCUACUGUAAUUCUCCAUAACAUGGGUUGGUUGGUGCAUUUUCUAUGCAGUUGUGCAAGAUUGACUCAGAGGGGAAGGCUAGAAAAGUAGUUGGCUGUUCUUGUGUCGUUGUGAAGGAUUUUGGUGAGGAUCAUGAAGCUCUUCAUAUAAUUCGGGAGCAUGUCAAGUCUCACUGAGUAGCUAGCUCUUCAUAUGAUUUGGUGGAGUCUCCCCCCUAGGGGUUUUGUCGAGUGUUUACUAGUUAUUACAACUUCCAUGUUUAUCACUGUUUGCUUUGAACACAGUAUUUAAUGCAUGCUACUGCUUUUUUUCGUUUUA
Molecule: non-coding RNA, 465 nt
Organism: Corylus avellana
Lineage: Eukaryota; Viridiplantae; Streptophyta; Magnoliopsida; Fagales; Betulaceae
Source: RefSeq, a predicted model, not a curated record